Molecule: non-coding RNA, 28 nt
Filed under: Rattus norvegicus (Norway rat)
Lineage: Eukaryota; Metazoa; Chordata; Mammalia; Rodentia; Muridae
Source: RNAcentral
UGCUUCGAUGACACAAUGCCACCACCAC